This 253-nucleotide ribosomal RNA is filed under the name uncultured bacterium. Its description in RNAcentral is "partial 16S ribosomal RNA". It matches the Rfam family "Bacterial small subunit ribosomal RNA", at positions 524 to 776 of the family's 1533-position model. The record is from RNAcentral.
UACGUAGGGUGCGAGCGUUGUCCGGAAUUAUUGGGCGUAAAGGGCUCGUAGGCGGUUUGUCGCGUCGGGAGUGAAAACCUUGGGCUUAACUCAGGGCUUGCUUUCGAUACGGGCAGACUAGAGGUAUGCAGGGGAGAACGGAAUUCCUGGUGUAGCGGUGAAAUGCGCAGAUAUCAGGAGGAACACCGGUGGCGAAGGCGGCGACCUGGUCCGUUACUGACGCUGAGGCACGAAAGCUAGGGGAGCAAACGGG